ACGCUCGACACCUACGAGAGGCAGCAGUGGGGAAUUUUCCGCAAUGGGCGAAAGCCUGACGGAGCAAUGCCGCGUGAAGGUAGAAGGCCUACGGGUCAUGAACUUCUUUUCCCGGAGAAGAAGCAAUGACGGUAUCCGGGGAAUAAGCAUCGGCUAACUCUGUGUCAGCAGCCGCGGUAAUCUGAGCGGGCUGGCAAGGC
Molecule: ribosomal RNA, 200 nt
Filed under: uncultured bacterium
Lineage: Bacteria
Description: partial 16S ribosomal RNA
Rfam family: Bacterial small subunit ribosomal RNA
Source: RNAcentral